Pangasianodon hypophthalmus (striped catfish) is the source of this 1398-nucleotide long non-coding RNA. RefSeq lists it as uncharacterized. The transcript is spliced from 2 exons. The record is from RefSeq and is a predicted model, not a curated record. Lineage: Eukaryota; Metazoa; Chordata; Actinopteri; Siluriformes; Pangasiidae.
CGAAACGCUAUGAUCAAACGUGUCAUGAAGUGCACAGGUCAACUAAUCGAUAAUGAGAUUCGUUGACAACGAUUUUCAUUAUCGAUACUUAUCGAUGUUAUCGAUUAGUUGUUUCAGCUCUAGUUCUGACUUUCUUGAACGAUUUAGUCACUUCUCUUCUUUGAGAACUCUCAUCAACGUGAUUGCUAGAAUAAAAAGGCUAGCCUCAAGACAGAAAUGUGUUAAUGACACUGACUGUGGAAGAAUAUGAAAGAGCAUUUGAGGUUCUGAUUAAGCUCGUUCUACAACAGGCCUUUUCCCAGGAGAUAAGAGCAAUUCAAGGAGGGAAGGCGCUUCAGAAAUCAAGUGCCCUUUUUCAUCUCGAUCCUAUUUUGAAAGGAGGUCUUAUUCAUGUUGGAGGAAGGUUGAAACAGUCAUCUCUUAGUGAAGAGGUCAAGCAUCCAGUGAUUUUGCCAAAAGACAGCCACAUCACCAACCUUAUUUUAACUCACUAUCACGCUAAAAUUUGCCAUCAAGGGAGGUAUCAAACACUCAUGGAACUGAGAGCAAAUGCAUUUUGGGUUAUCGGCGGCAGUAAGUCAGUAGCUAAAUUGAUUUACAGAUGUGUACAAUGUAGGAAGCUCAGACGGCCUUUGGAGGAGCAACAAAUGGCAGAGCUUCCUAAAGAACGAAUUGAAGUCUCUGCCCCUUUCUGCUAUACUGGCAUGGAUUGCUUUGGCCCAUUCAUUAUAAAAAGGGGUCGAAAGGAGUAUAAAAGCUGUAACGAAUCCGGCCUCUGUGGUUCCCCCGAUCGUCACCAGAGGUCACCAUCACCCGAGUAUUGACUUUCCCCUCGAAACUACAUUUCCCAUCACCCCGCACCCAGCACUGAUUACGAGCUCACCUGCAGCCUAUUACCGGGACUACUUAAGCCUCCGCCUCUCGCUCACUCAUUGCGAAGUCUUGUUUUGCCCCGGCUGACAUUUCUGAGCGUUUAUAUCUUCUCUGUUGGAUUACCGUGUUUGACCAUGGACUGUUUCUUCUCGUUUCUGGAUUCUUUGCUGCCUGCCCUGACCAUCUGCCUGUUUGAUCACUCUGCCUUUGUUUCGCCUCUGAUUACCCUGUUUCGCUGUUGCUCGACCACGCCUGUACGACUGUGUCUGCCUUUUAUUAAAACGCUGCUAAUGGAUCCCCAUUCUGUUGACUCCGCGUUACAACAGCCAUUACUCUGUUAUUUUUUGUGUGUUGUGUGUGUGGGUUUUUUUUUUUGUUUGUUUUUGUCCCCCCUCUUAUUGUGAGUGAUGUAUCUCCUUCUAUUUUUCCUUUUGCUUCAAAUGUAAGAAAACCAAUAAAUAAAGAAUUGGGGAAAAAAUGGAUUUCAUACUAAUACUGUUAGGUCAAUAAAAAAAUGUAUAUGCA